This is a long non-coding RNA of Pogoniulus pusillus (Red-fronted tinkerbird), 1104 nucleotides long. RefSeq lists it as uncharacterized. Lineage: Eukaryota; Metazoa; Chordata; Aves; Piciformes; Lybiidae. The record is from RefSeq and is a predicted model, not a curated record. The transcript is spliced from 3 exons.
ACACUAGCGCUUGUGGCCAACGUUCUGCUGUGGCACCUGCUGUGGGAGGAAGAAGGGAUUUGGAGUGCUCCCCCCGGCUCUGUCCCUGGAAGUUUGAAUGGGGGAAGAAGAAGGCAGGAAGCUGUUUUCCCAGCACUUCCCACCUCCUGGAGAGGCUUCUGCUUGUCCAGGAAGGGGAGUUAACCCUUUCUCGCCUCCUAGGCAGGAGGCAAAACACUAAGUUGUGGCAGCAGUGGCUCAGGCAGUUCUUAUGGUCAACAAUCAUUGGGGGAGCUACAGCAGCCCCAGGAUUAAGACCUUCUGCCUAGCUGAGCCAACAGUGGUCACUGAGCACGUGCCAGGAGGGAGCAAGGAUAAUUCCUUGUCCCAAAUUCAAGUGGGCCAACCUGUGCUGGUUAAUCUGCUCUCUAGUGGGGUUGUGCUCAUGAUACUGGCUAAGCCCAGGGGCUUAUAGGCCUGGGAAGCCCUGGAUGCUAAUGGGAGGACCCACUGCAUAAGUGUGAGGUGAGUUGUCCCCAGCUAUUAAUUGCUAAGCCCGGCUACUACGUGCCGAGGCAAGUUUCUCUCUUUGCAGGACUGAGGCCAGGCCGAGGACCAGAUUCCGGGACAUGGACCAGUACCUGACCAGCACCUGGGAGAGGAAGGACCAUCUACACAGGAGACGGAGGCACAUCACACCGAUGUGGCCAGUGGAUGAUGGCGUCAGGACUUGGAAAGCAUGACCUCCAGCCAUGGACUCAAAGCAGCAGCUGUGUCUACAGGCACUUUGGACUUCGGCGGGUUUCGUUCGCGUCUGACUUAAUGCCGCGUGGAUCCACAACGGGAUAUUGCUUGCAGUUUCAGAGGCUGCCGCAGAGAAAUUCAGCAGGGAUCACUGCUAAAGUCCUGCUUCACCUCUCCAGUUAGCUCCCAACUACAUCAGCAGCUCAGAGCAGGACUGAGAAGAAAACCCUCAACCCAUGUGCUGCAGGACAGAUGGAGGGGCAAAGAAACCAGUGGUCAUACUCCUGGUGGCUAAGAGGGGGAGCAACUCCGACCUGCGUCUGUAGUGUUAUUGUUGUUGUUAUUUUUGCUAUUAAUAAAAUACAAUCAUUUCUGUUAUCA